UAAGUGGUUCUAAGUGGUUCAUUUUUGUCCUAAAGUAGAAUGAAUACGAAAUAACAAUUUAAAAAAAAAAAAUUAAAAAUAAUGGUUAAUACACACCCUGUUCCCUCAGUGUCUUCACUGUCCUUCAGGCAUACGUUCCCACAAACUCAGUCUACAAAGCUCCUCCAGGAUAAAGGAAUUUGUGAAUAUUGAAUAUAAAGAAUAUGGAUUCCUGGGUUGUUUCAUGAUAUCCUAAAUCAAGUACUGACCAGAUUUAUUCAACCACUAUUUAGAGGUUCUGAUUAUGGAUGAGAUAAGGGUAAAAGAACACACAGGGAAUGGGGGAGUGCAAAGCAUUAAUGUUUAAGGAGGAAAGUGGAGUGGAAGAAGGUAUUGUACUUACACAGCUUUAGUCCUUUUGUCUAUUCCACCUUACUGAAGAGCAAAGCCGAGCUUUUAUUGUGUGUCAGAAGAGCUUUAUGUUCACAUAUGUAGGAAGAACAGCCUGGACUUCAGAAAGCUCACUGGCACCUAAAAAUCUCCAGCUGUUCUCCUGUGUUGUUACAAGGUCUCCUAAAAGCACCAACUCAGUGACAAACACAUGGCUUACUAUAAUGAGAAGAUGAGGAAGGAAAAGUACUACACCACCCAAGUUGCUUCAGGACUGGUGCCACAGGAAUGUGUCAUCUUUUCUCAGAACCAUUUUCACUCGCAAGGAAUAGGAAGACUCUGCCCCUGCAGUCCUCAGCUGUGCAGAUGGGGAUGA
Molecule: long non-coding RNA, 745 nt
Filed under: Cyanistes caeruleus (blue tit)
Lineage: Eukaryota; Metazoa; Chordata; Aves; Passeriformes; Paridae
Description: lncRNA (ENSCCEG00000011968.1)
Source: RNAcentral